GCUCCCAGCCCCUGGACAGAUCUGUCCGCGGCUCCGCGGCCACAAGGGUAAUUACUGCGGGGGCUCCCGGGGACACCGCGGGCAGCCGGGACCGUGCGGCACGGCGGAGAAGCGGAGACACCAGGGAGAGCCAGGAGUUAUAAAUGUUGGCGAAAUUUCAGCUUGUUCAAAAUGAGCAGCAAAGCUCUGUCUCCAGUGGGACAAGGGGCUGACUGACAGAAUCGCAAAAGGAUGUGAUUGGAAAGUAAGCUGGGAAGGCAGAAGCAGAUUGUACUUCCUACGUUGAGAAACAUGGAUAGACUCAUCCUAUGCACACCUGACAGAGGAUAGAGGCUGGGGAAACAGCUGAUUGUGAGUUUAUCUGGAAUUAACAGAACUGUCUUUAGAGGAAGAGGGCUCAGAACAUGUUCUGGCAAAGGAAAAGGGAGAGAAAAAGACUUAAAUUCUUAGAGUGUGUGGAUACAUUUGGUUAGAAGAUGAACAUGAGAAGUCUGAGAAACAGACAUGGCACUACUUCAUGGAAAAAUUAGAGGCAACUUAACUGCUAUGAUGGACAAAAGAGGAGCAUUCUGCAUUAACUAAUUUGGUAGAAGAGAAGCAGCCUCUUGGUCUUAAACAAAUGAGCUUCUCUCUCUUCCAGAGCUUGAUGCAGGAAGAACUUUGAAAUAUUUGGUAGAGCCACAUGUGACUGAUCAAAAUAUUCACCCUAAGGACACAAAACAAGAGUGUUAAGAUCUGCCAGAUAUGGGACUCACCUGCAGCAGAAUGUGGCUUUAACAGAACAUGGGAGAUCCUUCCAAUGGAAGGUAUUUUGUUUACAAAGCACAAUCACUUUGGAGACCUUGAUCUGACUUCUACAAUAAAUGAACUAGAUUCUUUUGGCUGCACUUUGUGAUCUGGAGUUGGUACUGUUUAUUCUUUCACCACAGGAGCAGAAUUUGGAGAUGGACAGCCUCUGUUGCUUCUCAUUUGGGAGCUGCUCUGGGGCUUUGGUGUACAGGGCACAUCCUGCCUGAGUACCACCAGCCCUCACCCUCCUGCUGGUCUCCAGGUGCCUCUCCUUUCUUCUCUUUCUGCCUGGGAGCUCUCUCCCACUGCUGCACAGCCACAGUGCUCAGACAGCCUCAUCCUCUCCCUUUCCUCCACUCUCCCUUCCCUGGACCUGGGGGAAAAUUCUGUUCUA
This is a long non-coding RNA of Melozone crissalis (California towhee), 1183 nucleotides long. RefSeq lists it as uncharacterized. Lineage: Eukaryota; Metazoa; Chordata; Aves; Passeriformes; Passerellidae. The record is from RefSeq and is a predicted model, not a curated record. The transcript is spliced from 8 exons.